This 421-nucleotide ribosomal RNA is filed under the name Staphylococcus coagulans. Its description in RNAcentral is "partial 23S ribosomal RNA". It matches the Rfam family "Bacterial large subunit ribosomal RNA", at positions 1 to 478 of the family's 2925-position model. Lineage: Bacteria; Bacillati; Bacillota; Bacilli; Caryophanales; Staphylococcaceae. The record is from RNAcentral.
GAAGAAGCGCAUACGGUGGAUGCCUUGGCAGUCAGAGGCGAUGAAAGACGUGGUAGCCUGCGAAAAGCUUCGGGGAGUCGGCAAACAGACUUUGAUCCGGAGAUGUCUGAAUGGGGGAACCCAGCCAUCAUAAGAUGGUUAUCUUGUACUGAAUACAUAGGUGCAAGAGGCGAACCAGGGGAACUGAAACAUCUAAGUACCCUGAGGAAAAGAAAUCAACCGAGAUUCCCUUAGUAGUGGCGAGCGAACGGGGACUAGCCCUUAAGUGGCUUUGAGAUUAGCGGAACGCUCUGGAAAGUGCGGCCAUAGUGGGUGAUAGCCCUGUACGCGAAAAUCUCUUAGUCAUGAAAUCGAGUAGGACGGGGCACGAGAAACCUUGUCUGAAUAUGGGGGGACCAUCCUCCAAGGCUAAAUACUACUG